Molecule: long non-coding RNA, 1561 nt
Organism: Xenia sp. Carnegie-2017
Lineage: Eukaryota; Metazoa; Cnidaria; Anthozoa; Malacalcyonacea; Xeniidae
Exons: 2
Source: RefSeq, a predicted model, not a curated record
AACCAUUUAGUAAUCGACGGCUAGACAAUCUAUUAUGUCGAAAUCCUGUCUCUAAAAUAGAAAGCACAAUUGUUUCUGACAUUGCAAGCAUCUAAAAUGGUUCAAUGUUAUGGAGAACCUGUAAAUAUUCCUCUAAAGAUACCAGGUACAAGACCAAAUAUCUCUACCUUUUUCACAGCCACAACACUGAAGUUCGGUGAAUACUUUAAUCGUUCACAAUCACUUCGUAAUCAUUGCUAUGAGUAUAAUUAAAGUCUGCAAACCUUGUUAAAUUGACAGAGAACAUUCUAGCAUCUAAACUAAAAAAAACAUUUUCCCAAGAGAAGAGACAUCGGGUUUCGAAAUCUUUCUCAUAAAGUUAACACAACAUAGAAAAACGAACAAUUUAUAAAGCUUCAUUUGUUACUUUAAAUGGAAGACACGCAGGGCAAAAACAGAAGAAAAUAAAGGUACAAGCUGGGAGAAAGAAGAAAUUUUAUCAAUCUUAUCACGUUUUUCAACAUUGAAAGAUAACAGAAUACAAAAUUAAAUUAAGAUGACUGAAUUGGAAAUGAAAAAAGAACAAAAAUAGCUCGUUCUCUAAAUGCAAAGACAAAAAUUGACAUAUUUUAUUUGACUUCCCCAUGUCAACCAUCAUAACAUCUGUCUAAACGCAAUAAGCAUGUCUUGUCAGAUUCACAUUGGCAAGAGUAUAUAAAGAGAGUUAGGAAGUGUGCUCUUCAAAACGUUAAAGACAAGUGAAGUGUAGAACAAAAUCCGAUUAGAAAACACACAUUUCAAAGGAGCUCUAUUCCGAAAAUUUGACAGGUCAAAAACACAAGAGUUAGGAAAAUAUGAAGAAGAUUCUAAUACUGGCUUUGCUUUUUGUGCUUUGUUCAACUAUGAAUUUUAUGGUCAAUGGAAUUGUAGUUAUUUCUCAACCAAAACCUCCAAGGCGUCGGAGAAGCCAAAAACCAUCACCACAAAGUAAACACUUAAAUAACAGAUCAAGAAAAGUAGAUCAUAAAAAUGUAAGAAGUGGAAAAAGAAAGAUUGGAGCCGACAGGAAGAAAAAGAUUCAUCAUGCAAUUGACUAAACAAUGAACAAUAAAGGUAUUCCAAUUUGGAUGUAGAAAUGCACAAUGUCAUGACAAAAAAAAACGAUUGGCUAAAGAAAUGCACGAUUUAUCACGACAUUACAGUUUUCUUGUAAACUGUAGUAAGAAACAAUUGAACGCGAUAGACUUUGUCCAAGAAUUAAAUACUUAAUAUUACAAACAAAAAGAGCGUGGUCUUUAAUCUUAUUGCAACUGGCAAUCCACAUACACAUGUCUAUAUUGAAACUUUUCUUUUUUAUCACGGUUUUCAUAGUUCUAGGUAACGUCAAUCAUCAUGUAUAAUCUAGGUCUGUUAGUGUUGAGAAUAUUAGCUUCCAACUGUACCUUCAGAAUAUUAAAUUUAGCUGUAAACGGAGCCGUGAAUCCUUGAUAGAUGUUAAUGCAGUAGUAACUAGCAUAACGAUGAUAUAAAUACGUGUAAAUAAUACACAGAAAAUAAACAAGCGAUAAUGGGAUCAACAAAA